This 513-nucleotide ribosomal RNA is filed under the name uncultured bacterium. RNAcentral's name for it is "bacterial SSU rRNA". It matches the Rfam family "Bacterial small subunit ribosomal RNA", at positions 8 to 526 of the family's 1533-position model. The record is from RNAcentral.
AGAGUUUGAUCCUGGCUCAGGGUUAACGCUGGCGGCGUGCCUAACACAUGCAAGUCGAACGGGACCAGGGGCAACUCUGGUUCAGUGGCGGACGGGUGCGUAACACGUGAGGAACAUGACCUUCGGCGGGGGAUAGCCGGCCCAACGGCCGGGUAAUACCGCGUACGACCGUUUGGGGACAUCCCCGAAUGGUGAAAGCAGCAAUGCGCCGAUGGAGUGCCUCGCGGCCUAUCAGCUAGUUGGUGGGGUAACGGCCCACCAAGGCGACGACGGGUAGCUGGUCUGAGAGGAUGGCCAGCCACAUUGGGACUGAGACACGGCCCAGACUCCUACGGGAGGCAGCAGUGGGGAAUAUUGCGCAAUGGACGAAAGUCUGACGCAGCGACGCCGCGUGUGGGAUGACGGUCUUCGGAUUGUAAACCACUGUCGGGAGGGACGAAUACGCCGCAAGGCGGGUGACGGUACCUCCAAAGGAAGCACCGGCUAACUCCGUGCCAGCCGCCGCGGUAAUAC